This 680-nucleotide ribosomal RNA is filed under the name Escherichia coli 2-156-04_S4_C3. RNAcentral's name for it is "partial 23S ribosomal RNA". The stretch from base 580 to 680 matches the Rfam family "Bacterial small subunit ribosomal RNA", at positions 1 to 101 of the family's 1533-position model. The record is from RNAcentral. Lineage: Bacteria; Pseudomonadati; Pseudomonadota; Gammaproteobacteria; Enterobacterales; Enterobacteriaceae.
GCACGCGAUUAUUUGCAUAUUGAUAUGGCCGCUUCUUAUAUGGUGGGCGAUAAAUUAGAAGAUAUGCAGGCAGCGGCUGCGGCGAACGUGGGAACAAAAGUGCUGGUGCGUACGGGUAAACCUAUUACGCCUGAAGCAGAAAACGCGGCGGAUUGGGUGUUAAAUAGCCUGGCAGACCUGCCGCAAGCGAUAAAAAAGCAGCAAAAACCGGCAUAAUGAUUAAAAGAUGAGCGAUUGAAAUAAAAAUGCAUUUUUCCACUUGUCUUCCUGAGACGACUCCCUAUAAUGCGCCUUCAUCGACACGGCGGAUGUGAAUCACUUCACACAAACAGCCGAUUCGGUUGAAGAGAAAAAUCCUGAAAUUCAGGGUUGACUCUGAAAGAGGAAAGCGUAAUAUACGCCACCUCGCGACAGUGCGCUAAAGUGCGUCGCAACUGCUCUUUAACAAUUUAUCAGACAAUCUGUGUGGGCACUCGAAGAUACGGAUUCUUAACGUCGAAAGACGAAAAAUGAAUACCAAGUCUCAAGAGUGAACACGUAAUUCAUUACGAAGUUUAAUUCUUUGAGCAUCAAACUUUUAAAUUGAAGAGUUUGAUCAUGGCUCAGAUUGAACGCUGGCGGCAGGCCUAACACAUGCAAGUCGAACGGUAACAGGAAACAGCUUGCUGUUUCGCUGACGA